RNAcentral lists this ribosomal RNA (465 nucleotides) under Vreelandella stevensii. RNAcentral describes it as "partial 16S ribosomal RNA". It matches the Rfam family "Bacterial small subunit ribosomal RNA", at positions 338 to 795 of the family's 1533-position model. The record is from RNAcentral. Lineage: Bacteria; Pseudomonadati; Pseudomonadota; Gammaproteobacteria; Oceanospirillales; Halomonadaceae.
CCUACGGGCGGCAGAAGUGGGGAAUAUUGGACAAUGGGGGCAACCCUGAUCCAGCCAUGCCGCGUGUGUGAAGAAGGCCCUCGGGUUGUAAAGCACUUUCAGUGAGGAAGAACGCCUGGUGGUUAAUACCCAUCAGGAAAGACAUCACUCACAGAAGAAGCACCGGCUAACUCCGUGCCAGCAGCCGCGGUAAUACGGAGGGUGCGAGCGUUAAUCGGAAUUACUGGGCGUAAAGCGCGCGUAGGUGGCUUGAUAAGCCGGUUGUGAAAGCCCCGGGCUCAACCUGGGAACGGCAUCCGGAACUGUCAAGCUAGAGUGCAGGAGAGGAAGGUAGAAUUCCCGGUGUAGCGGUGAAAUGCGUAGAGAUCGGGAGGAAUACCAGUGGCGAAGGCGGCCUUCUGGACUGACACUGACACUGAGGUGCGAAAGCGUGGGUAGCAAACAGGAUUAGAUACCCUUGUAGUC